AUUUACUACAGGAAAAAAAUCACAGUUUGAGAAAACUACUCCAGAAAAAUAUAGCUCAAACACCUAAAAUAAGUAAAUAAAGUUUAAAGCACUCAAUAUUGUGAUCAAAAAUGUCUACUUUUAUUUGAUUUUCUGUCAACAAAAAGCAUGAACUUUGACUCAUUUAAGUUGAGAGAAAAUCUGGAAGAAUACACAUAUAAAGGUCAUUUCUGGAGUUUUUCCAUAUUUUCACCUGAUAUAAUAACGCAAGAAACUGACCUCAGGUGUCAACAAUGAGAUGACGAAGACAAACAACAGUCUUCAAAGAGUGUGACGAAACUACCUCAAUGGCUUUUUUGAACAUCCAAGUGCGCCCUCAUGUGGUCACCCACAUUAAAACUCAAAAACCGAAACUUGAGCAAUUUCUUUCACAGCUUUAACAAAAUAUGAUUAGACCAUAUAUAUGCGUUAUUUACUAAAGGACACGCAGAACGAAAAAUGCCAACGAUAGAAACCAUGAGUAAAAUGCUAACAGGUGUCAACACGAGUCUUAAUAUUACACUACUUAAACCCACAAUUAUAAAGAUUAUAAAAAUGUACUAGUUUUCAGCUUAAUAUAUAAUCUAGAGUUGGUAUUUAAAAUAAGACAUUAAGAUAUUUAAACGCAAAUCUGUUUUGUAGGCUAAACCCGCCAUAUAUAUAUAUAUAUAUAUAUAUAUAUAUAUAUAUAUAUAUAUAUAUAUAUAUAUAUAUAUAUAUACAGUAAUUAACCAUACAGUUAACAUAUUAGCCUUCAUGUAAACUUUAUAUUAACCUGCACUUCCCUCAGGUAUAAACAUACUUGCAUAUUUAUGUGUGAAUAUAUGUAUAUGUGCGUGUGUAUGUAUGGGGACGUGCACAGCAAUGCCUUAAUUCACGUAAUUUUGAAAAAUUUAUAACUUAUCAUAUGAAAGGCCGUAACAAAUGUGAAAGGACCUCCUUAAAACCUUAUUGUGUGAGGUGAAACAAAACCGAAAAUCAAAACAUUUGUAAGAACAAAAUCUGAAACGAUAAUGGUGAAACUCAAUCCACAGCAGCACGCCUAAAAUAAGAUCUUCACACUGUAAAUUUGCAAGCUUAUAGCUGCUUUUUUAUAAGCAGUUUAAGCUGCAUUCAACAAGCAUCAGGUUACUCAAAAGUAAGGGCGAUUAAAAUCACAGAUAUAAUUGUGAGCAGUCAGCAUUAUUAUCAAGGACUGUGCUUAUGAAAUACUGGCCAUGUUGUUUUAAUUUUCUCUUUUAGUCAUGAAACAAAACCAAAAACUAGAUGUUGUAAACACUGCCUGUUAGAAACCCUAACCCAAGUAUAAAAGAUGCUCAAUGCUUUAGUAUAGAUUAUACUCUAGUUCAGAUUGUGGUAUAUGUGUGUACCAAGUACUGCCUACUAACUUAACAUACUAUGUUUUUUGAAAUGGAGUGUCAUGAAGAAUGUAUGAAAUCAGUUUUUACUGCGUCUUUUUGCUUUUGUGGGUGUGGACUGGAUCACUUUGGUUUUCCUCCGCAAGACUCUCCUGUCAAUCACUGGCGGCUCCUCCUCUUCUCCCGAAUUUUGUACGGCAGCUUCAUCUUCCUCUGUGCUCCCCUUCUCCUCUUCAGUGCUUGUGAGCUUUUCUUCCUCCUCCUCCUCCUCUUCAUCAUCAUCAAACUCCUCAUCCACCACCUGUAUGACCACAGCUUUGCUCAGUCUACUGGAUGUGCGCUUGGGUGUUGGCGGGACGGGUUUGAUCCUGCCUCCUCGAAGAACUCGAACCCCAGGAGGAGAAUCGUGAGUUGUGUCAGAGCUUUUCCCCUCAUAAUCAUCAUCAUCAUCAUCUUCAGUGGUGGCAGUGUCCUCCUCUUCAUCUUUUUCAUCCGUCUCAGGUAAAUUCUCUUCCUCUUCCUCUUUUUCAGAGUCCUCUGUUGCAGGUUGGCUUUCCUCUGUCUCAAGUGGCUCAUCGGAGGCAGUCUCAUCAUCUUGUUGGCUCAGAGCUGACUCCUCUGUCUCUAUAAUGACUUCUCCUUCACCUGCUGCACUAGGAGAAGCAGAUGUCUCCUCCUCUGGAGCUUCUUGGUCAGGAGCAGUUGCUUCCUCUGCUGCAUCACUGUCCUGCACAGAGGAAACACACUCAACCAGGUCUGCUGGAAUGACUGGCGCCUCAGGAACAGCUUGUGGAUGAUCAGUGUCUUCGGUUUCCUCAACUGCUGAAGCUACUUCCUCUUCCUCUUCCUGCUGAACUUCCUCUUCCUCCUCAACUGGAGAAGAAACUUCUGCCUCUGCAUCCUGUUUCUCCUCAGUAACAAGUUCUUGGUCCAUCUGCUCCACUACUCCAGACUCUUCAGGAGUGUUAAUGAUGUCAUCCUUAAGAAGACAAACCAGAUUAGGAUUUUGUUUAGGUCUAGUCUAUGUAGUGAAAAUGAUGCUCUUAAUUAAAAAAUAAACACUAUAUGAUGACUAUGCAUUCCAUUUUUCAUAAAAUUACCCAAAUAUUCAGGAAGAGAUUGGAA
Molecule: long non-coding RNA, 2501 nt
Organism: Cyprinus carpio carpio
Lineage: Eukaryota; Metazoa; Chordata; Actinopteri; Cypriniformes; Cyprinidae
Source: Ensembl